Molecule: ribosomal RNA, 253 nt
Filed under: uncultured bacterium
Lineage: Bacteria
Description: partial 16S ribosomal RNA
Rfam family: Bacterial small subunit ribosomal RNA
Source: RNAcentral
GACAGAGGGUGCAAACGUUGCUCGGAAUCACUGGGCGUAAAGGGCGUGUAGGCGGGAAGGAAAGUCAGAUGCGAAAGCCCUGGGCUCAACCCAGGAACUGCAUUUGAAACUCCCUUUCUUGAGUGUCGGAGAGGAAAGCGGAAUUCCUGGUGUAGAGGUGAAAUUCGUAGAUAUCAGGAGGAACACCGGUGGCGAAGGCGGCUUUCUGGACGACAACUGACGCUGAGACGCGAAAGCGUGGGGAGCAAACAGG